This 132-nucleotide small nucleolar RNA is filed under the name Castor canadensis (American beaver). Its description in RNAcentral is "Small nucleolar RNA SNORA51 (ENSCCNG00000006524.1)". It matches the Rfam family "Small nucleolar RNA SNORA51". From Rfam's summary of the family: ACA51 is a member of the H/ACA class of snoRNA that guide the sites of modification of uridines to pseudouridines. The record is from Rfam by way of RNAcentral. Lineage: Eukaryota; Metazoa; Chordata; Mammalia; Rodentia; Castoridae.
GGCAUCUUGGUGCUUAUCACAGGCUGUGUUCUUGCAGUGACUGUAUAGAAAAAUGAGCCAAAGUAAACCUACGCCAUGUGCACCUCAGCCAAGGCCCUGUGCCUGAUCUGUACUGUGAAAGGGAAGACAUGG